UACGUAGGGUGCAAGCGUUGUCCGGAAUUAUUGGGCGUAAAGAGCUCGUAGGCGGUUCGUCGCGUCGGCUGUGAAAACCUGAGGCUCAACCUCAGGCCUGCAGUCGAUACGGGCGGACUUGAGUACUGCAGGGGAGACUGGAAUUCCUGGUGUAGCGGUGAAAUGCGCAGAUAUCAGGAGGAACACCGAUGGCGAAGGCAGGUCUCUGGGCCACUACUGACGCUGGAG
RNAcentral lists this ribosomal RNA (228 nucleotides) under uncultured bacterium. RNAcentral describes it as "partial 16S ribosomal RNA". It matches the Rfam family "Bacterial small subunit ribosomal RNA", at positions 524 to 751 of the family's 1533-position model. The record is from RNAcentral.